This is a long non-coding RNA of Varanus komodoensis (Komodo dragon), 2472 nucleotides long. RefSeq lists it as uncharacterized. Lineage: Eukaryota; Metazoa; Chordata; Lepidosauria; Squamata; Varanidae. The record is from RefSeq and is a predicted model, not a curated record. The transcript has 2 exons.
AGGUAGGCUUAGCUGAGAGACUGGCCCAAAGUCCUCCAGAGGGUUUCCUGGCUGCAAUUAAUGUUAACGUCGCUCAAGGUUCUGCUCCAGGCUUCCCCCGACGUGGUCCCCUCCACAGGUUUUGGACUACAGCUCCCAGCAUUCCUGGGCACUGGCCUUACUGGCUGAUGGGAGAUGAUUGUCUUUAUUUUUGCACUUAGGUGUCUUUCCUUCAAGGAGCCCAAGGUGACUUACGUGACCUCUCUCCUUCCUAUUUUUGUCCUCCCAACAACCCUGUGAGGUAGAUCAGGCCAAGGGAGUCAGUGACUGGCCCAAACAGAGCUGGGAGGUGUCAUGGCCAAAGGAAGGCACGAACCCGUUCUGCCCAGUCCGCUGCUCUAAUCAGUACACCGUACUUCCUCUCACCAUAGACUCUUAAUUUGGAAGGAGAUGGGGUAGGAAUCUGCCUGGGCCUGCCGCUCGUCAAGGCACACUCUCUGCUCCAGGGACCAUUCACUGGGCAGCUCUGCUGCUUUAUCUGGACGCCUGUUUUCUCUGGCCCCUUUCCAGCCCUCCAGUGCUGCAGCAGUGCGUUCGCCUGGAUUUCUCCGUGGCCUCCCUUGCAUCGGGGCAGAGCGGGAAAGCGCAAUCCAAGGGGAAAGACUGUUGCUCAGUGGCAGACAAGACUUGUACGCAGGAAGAAAGGCCCAGACAGCCAGCCGCUCACCUCGCUGCCCGGAGAAAGGAAAAGAAGAGGAUGCACAUUAGCAACAAACAUGGACACUGCUAACGUUUAUAUGCACAAUUGGAAAGAAUUGGUGCAACUCCAAAAGAAGCACAGGGCAUCUCAAGGAAGCAUGGAAGGCUUGCCCAGGUGCACCUUCUGUGCUUAACCCGCUCUCCAGAUACCGUUGAUGGGCAGCCUCAAAGCCCGGCUCUUCCUCCAUCUGGAUGGUUCUUGAUCUUUAAAGCUGGUUUGGACAGCCCUUCAAGCAAACGGUGCCUUCCCAGUACAGGACAGACCUGUGGCAGCCCUUCUGAGAGACAAUGACCGCUGAAAGGCCCUGAAGGGGUCUUGCCUGAGCUGUGCGGCUGGGUUAGCCUAGAAAGAGGGUGUGAUGUAGCUGGCAAGAGUGGCGCUUGCCUAGGGACCUGGAAGACCUGAGUUCUUGUCCCCUCUCAGCCGUGAUGCACUUUGAGUCAGUCAUUCCCACUCAGCCUCAUCUACCUCACAGGGCUGUUGUGGUCAUGAGGAUAUAAUGGAGCUAUGUAAGUGUCUUGGGUUUUCUUCAAAAGAAAACAAGCGUGAUAUAAUGCAAGUAGUAGUAAUAGCAGUAGGUGUAUUUUUUUCUGUUCUUCCAAUGUAGGAGUUUAUUCUGUAUUUUUCUACUGUUAGGCCUUUGCAAUGAAUUAUUCAAGGUCUGCUUAAGCUUGAUGAAUAUUUAUUUUGAUGCAAUUGGGCUAUUUGAUGUAACUUUUGUUAUGACUGGUCAGGGUCACUUGUCCUGAAAGCUUGCCAUAUUUCUUGCACUUUUGCUUUCUUCGGAGGUCUCUGUAAGCUACUUUGAAUGCCAUUUUGUUGUGGUAAAGUGGCAUACAAACCAACCGAGAAGGAGGAAUGAGCCAGGUUUGGUUUCUUGCAGCGUCUCUAGGUGAGCUAGAGAACACUCUGGCCUGCAGCCCUGAGUGGCAGGAACAGUGGUUGCUUCCAUGGAUACGUCCAGCUCCAGCAAACACUGUCAUUGCCAGCUGUUUUGCAAAGAGCAAAAGCAAUAUGCUUUGGAAGUGCAUUUGGCCUUCCCUUUGUAGUUCCCCUUGGAGUCUGGAGCAAGCGGCAGAAGCUCUUUUGGGCCAAAUCGCACCGCAGAGAAGCACUCACGGGCCAUAUCUCAGCGGUGUGCAAGGCUGAGGGGCGAAAAAGCAGGGCCAGGACACCCCAGAGAUGCUGAAAUAGUGGUCUAAAAAUUAACAUCUCACCAGGGAGUCCUUGGAGGAAUGACUGAGCAAGCAGUGGUCUCAUCAUCAUCAUCAUCAUCAUCAUCAUCGGUAUCCCAGACUCCUUCCUUCCCUUCACUGGAGCUUUAUCCACACAGCUGUCAACAGCUGUCUAGAUAAAAACCAGGGCGCAGGGCAUGGUAGAAGCAGCUUCCAAUUCGGAGCAGCAGGGGUGGUAGGGUUGCAUCCAGAGCAAGACAACUUUUUAGAAAGCAGUCUCCAUUCAUUAGUGGAUAAACCCUGCAGCCUCAGUUCUUUGGGCUGCUGCCACUCAGAAAUCCUUUUGGGGAGGAACAGAGGAUGAGACAGAAAUGUAAGUUUUCAAAAGAAUAACAGGAAGCAAAAAAAGACACUGUUGCAAAUUUGGUUUGUUUUAUCUUUGUGAUUAGAUUAAGGAAAUGCAUUGUUGAAAGUGUUUGUUCUUGAUUGUACAUGCAGAUACAGAGAUGUAUAUUGUUACACAGAGAAAUCACAAAAAAUAGGCAUUUCUGACUCAAA